Onychostoma macrolepis is the source of this 637-nucleotide long non-coding RNA. RefSeq lists it as uncharacterized. The transcript is spliced from 4 exons. NCBI's taxonomy places the organism in Eukaryota, Metazoa, Chordata, Actinopteri, Cypriniformes, Cyprinidae. The record is from RefSeq and is a predicted model, not a curated record.
AUGCAUUUGAAUGGCUAUGUAUUGACGCGGACGUCACUUUUAACAGGGGAAACAUAAGAAAGAGACAUUUUCUUUCACUGGAGAUGCGGAGCAGACGGGGAAGUUGGUCUUCUCGAGGAAAACACUGAAUGGUUCAUGCUGGUUUAACAGAAAAAUCGAAAGGAGAUGAUGUGCUUGAAGAGUAUGAAGCCACCAAUACAUUAAGUGGGAUGAGAAGAGCUUUGUUAGGACACAUACCAGAGACAUGGGAGCACUUUUGUGAUGCUGCAAGUGGGAGUUGGGUAUCUUGCUUGGCUGAAAGCUGCGGAGAAACACAUCUCGUCUUGCUGAAAACUACUCUUUACAAGGAGGUCCAAACACCAUUAGCAGAGACUUUGUUCAGUGAGCAUUAACAUGCAUUCUGCCUGGAUGCUAAUGAAUGGGAUGCUGUUGUCUAAACUGAUAAAUGUAAGCGUUAUAAACCUCAUGACAUUAAGUGUACAUAUGGACCAAAUAAGAAUAUGUAUUUUCACUGAUUUGCUUUGACAUUAUGAUGUUUUAAUUGUUGUAAGAACAUGUUCUUUACAUGCAUUGAAUGUGAAAACAUUUUUCUCAGGGAAAAAGAUUUACAAUGUUUCAAUUAAAAAUUGUAAAAGUG